This 432-nucleotide ribosomal RNA is filed under the name uncultured bacterium. RNAcentral describes it as "bacterial SSU rRNA". It matches the Rfam family "Bacterial small subunit ribosomal RNA", at positions 29 to 507 of the family's 1533-position model. The record is from RNAcentral.
AACGAACGCUGGCGGCAGCCUCUCACACAUGCAAGUCGAGCGCGCCUUCGGGUGAGCGGCGGACGGGUUAGUAACGCGUGGGAACGUGCCCUUCUCUACGGAAUAGCCUCUGGAAACGGAGAGUAAUACCGUAUACGCCCUUUGGGGGAAAGAUUUAUCGGAGAAGGAUCGGCCCGCGUUAGAUUAGGUAGUUGGUGGGGUAACGGCCUACCAAGCCUACGAUCUAUAGCUGGUUUUAGAGGAUGAUCAGCAACACUGGGACUGAGACACGGCCCAGACUCCUACGGGAGGCAGCAGUGGGGAAUCUUAGACAAUGGGGGCAACCCUGAUCUAGCCAUGCCGCGUGAGUGAUGAAGGCCUUAGGGUCGUAAAGCUCUUUCGCCUGUGAUGAUAAUGACAGUAGCAGGUAAAGAAACCCCGGCUAACUCCGUG